CGGCUCUGACCAGCCUGACCAACAGGACCAGGUUUACAGAGACCGAACAGAGAUGAAGGAAGACCUGCUGAGAACUGGAGACCUCAGUCUGACCCUGAAAUCCCCCACAGUCAGAGACGGAGGACGAUACAGGUGCAAAGUCUACAACAUGAAGGGAGACCUCAUGAGAGAGAAAAGAGUUGAUCUCAGGGUCAAAGAGAGAAGCAGCUCCACUGAUCCAACUCCUCUGAUGGCCGAUCAAUCUGUUUGAUCUUUGAUCAUUGAUCCGAUCUGACUCUGGAUCAGAGAGAAAAUGGAGGUGAAGCAGCUGAUGGAGGACGGAUGAAGACAGGAGGACGCUUUGUCAGCUUCUUCUUCACUCUGACUCCUCCUACUGACUCUCACACACAGUCUACACACUCACUAUUGAUUCCUGCUGAUCAGUGAUGUCAGAGUGAGGUCAGCGUGAUGUCACAUGGCUUGAACGGGCGUGUUUCCUGUGAACCUCCCAGCGGCUGGAUAACAGCUGCGGCUCUCUGGAUAUUUGUGGCUCGUUCUAAUGCGUGCAGUCAAACAAACUUUAUUUCUACAGACACAGAGAAGUCAGCAGCUGCAGGAAAUCAGAACCACUGACAGGAAGUUAAGAGUCAAGUUAAACCACAUGUCAGAACUUUCUACAGCAGCAGGAUUUAGAAGAUGCUGGAAGCUGCUGUCUUUAGAUUUUGGACCCGUCACAAUUUGUCACAUUUUCUGAAGCCACAACAAAUCUUGUUGAAAGGAAACAGUUGAUUGAAGGUCCAGUUUCAAACGAAGAGUCAAAGCUUCUCUUUGUGUCGACUCCUUUAAUGAGAACAUUGAAAAGGACUCGAGUCCAAGUCUCAAGUGUCCAGCUCAGAUUAUUCCAGCACCAACCCUGGCAGGAUGCAAGUUAAACAGAAAGCAACACAUUUAGUGACAGAACAGAAAGCAGCCAGCUGUUAAAAUGGACUCAGAGAAUGAAGACACAAUAAGAUUUGAUUCAGUCAGACUUUCACAAGAACAAAGGUUUGUUCAGCCUGAACACAAAUGUGGUCUGUAGUGUUUUUGUAGUCCCUG
Molecule: long non-coding RNA, 1074 nt
Organism: Micropterus salmoides (largemouth bass)
Lineage: Eukaryota; Metazoa; Chordata; Actinopteri; Centrarchiformes; Centrarchidae
Exons: 2
Source: RefSeq, a predicted model, not a curated record